Molecule: ribosomal RNA, 496 nt
Filed under: uncultured bacterium
Lineage: Bacteria
Description: partial 16S ribosomal RNA
Rfam family: Bacterial small subunit ribosomal RNA
Source: RNAcentral
GAUGAACGCUGGCGGCGUGCCUAAUACAUGCAAGUCGAGCGAACAGACGAGGAGCUUGCUCCUCUGACGUUAGCGGCGGACGGGUGAGUAACGCGUGGAUAACCUACCUAUAAGACUGGGAUAACUUCGGGAAACCGGAGCUAAUACCGGAUAAUAUAUUGAACCGCAUGGUUCAAUAGUGAAAGACGGUUUUGCUGUCACUUAUAGAUGGAUCCGCGCCGCAUUAGCUAGUUGGUAAGGUAACGGCUUACCAAGGCAACGAUGCGUAGCCGACCUGAGAGGGUGAUCGGCCACACUGGAACUGAGACACGGUCCAGACUCCUACGGGAGGCAGCAGUAGGGAAUCUUCCGCAAUGGGCGAAAGCCUGACGGAGCAACGCCGCGUGAGUGAUGAAGGUCUUCGGAUCGUAAAACGCUGUUAUUAGGGAAGAACAAAUGUGUAAGUAACUAUGCACGUCUUGACGGUACCUAAUCAGAAAGCCACGGCUAACUACGU